RNAcentral lists this ribosomal RNA (1253 nucleotides) under Steringophorus furciger. Its description in RNAcentral is "SSU rRNA". It matches the Rfam family "Eukaryotic small subunit ribosomal RNA", at positions 29 to 1170 of the family's 1831-position model. Lineage: Eukaryota; Metazoa; Platyhelminthes; Trematoda; Strigeidida; Fellodistomidae. The record is from RNAcentral.
CGUUGUCUCAGAGAUUAGCCAUGCAUGUCUAAGUACAAACCUUUAAACGGUGAAACCGCGAAUGGCUCAUUAAAUCAGCUAUGGUUCCUUAGAUCGUACAUACUACAUGGAUAUCUGUAGUAAUUCAUACAUGAUAUCUGUAGUAAUUCCUAGAGCUAAUACAUGCCAAUAUGCCCUAAGCCCCGCAAGGGAACGGGUGGAUUUAUUAGAACAGAACCAACCGGUGGCGGCGCAAGCUGUUACUGUUCCAUUACUGUGAUGACUCUGGAUAACUUUACUGAUCGCAGCUGGCCUUGUGUCGGCGACGGAUCUUUCAAAUGUCUGCCCUAUCAAUUGUCGAUGGUAGGUGACCUGCCUACCAUGGUGAUAACGGGUAACGGGGAAUCAGGGUUCGAUUCCGGAGAGGGAGCCUGAGAAACGGCWWCCACAUCCAAGGAAGGCAGCAGGCACGCAAAUUACCCACUCCCGGCACGGGGAGGUAGUGACGAAAAAUACAGGAUACGGGUACUCAUCAGAGGCUCCGUAAUUCGAAUGAGUACAAUUUAAAUCCUUUAACGAGGACCCACUGGAGGGCAAGUCUGGUGCCAGCAGCCGCGGUAACUCCAGCUUCAGAAGCGUAUAUUAAAGUUGUUGCAGUUAAAAAGCUCGUAGUUGGAUCUGGGUCGCAUGGCUACAUGCCGUCGCUUAUGCCUCUUGCUUGCAUUGUUCGAGUAGAGGACGUGUGUCGGUGUAGUGGUUGUGCAGCCUUUCUGCCGUGUCUGUUUAUACGGGUGCUGGUGGGUCUUUUAGACUCGUUGGCACUGCUUCCGGAUGCCUUUAACAGGGUGUCUGGGGCGGACGGCACGUUUACUUUGAACAAAUUUGAGUGCUCAAAGCAGGCCCAAGUGCCUGAAAAUUCUUGCAUGGAAUAAUGGAAUAGGACUUCGGUUCUAUUUUGUUGGUUUCGGAUCCGAAGAAUGGUUAAGAGGGACAGACGGGGGCAUUUGUAUGGCGGUGUUAGAGGUGAAAUUCUUGGAUCGCCGCCAGACAAACUACAGCGAAAGCAUUUGCCAAGGAUGUUUUCAUUGAUCUGGAGCGAAAGUCAGAGGUUCGAAGACGAUCAGAUACCGUCCUAGUUCUGACCAUAAACGAUGCCAACUGACGAUCCGUGGAGGUAAUAGUAUUGACCCUGCGGGCAGUCCCCGGGAAACCCUUAAGUCUUUGGGCUCCGGGGGAAGUAUGGUUGCAAAGCUGAAACUUAAAGGAAUUGACGG